Molecule: ribosomal RNA, 397 nt
Filed under: uncultured bacterium
Lineage: Bacteria
Description: partial 16S ribosomal RNA
Rfam family: Bacterial small subunit ribosomal RNA
Source: RNAcentral
AUACGUAGGGGGCGAGCGUUGUCCGGAAUGAUUGGGCGUAAAGGGCGCGUAGGCGGCGCGGUAAGUCUGGAGUGAAAGUCCUGCUUUCAAGGUGGGAAUUGCUUUGGAUACUGCCGCGCUUGAGUGCAGGAGAGGUGAUCGGAAUUCCCGGUGUAGAGGUGAAAUGCGUAGAGAUCGGGAGGAACACCAGUGGCGAAGGCGGGUAACUGGACUGCAACUGACGCUGAGGCGCGAAAGUGUGGGGAGCAAACAGGAUUAGAUACCCUGGUAGUCCACACUGUAAACGAUGAAUGCUAGGUGUAAGAGGUAUCGACCCCUUUUGUGCCGGAGUCAACACAAUAAGCAUUCCGCCUGGGGAGUACGGCCGCAAGGUUGAAACUCAAAGGAAUUGACGGGG